Molecule: ribosomal RNA, 306 nt
Filed under: uncultured bacterium
Lineage: Bacteria
Description: partial 16S ribosomal RNA
Rfam family: Bacterial small subunit ribosomal RNA
Source: RNAcentral
GACAGCAGUCGCCACGGGAAUACGGAGGGUGCAAGCGUUAAUCGGAAUUACUGGGCGUAAAGCGCACGCAGGCGGUCUGUCAAGUCAGAUGUGAAAUCCCCGGGCUUAACCUGGGAACUGCAUUUGAAACUGGCAGGCUAGAGUCUUGUAGAGGGGGGUAGAAUUCCAGGUGUAGCGGUGAAAUGCGUAGAGAUCUGGAGGAAUACCGGUGGCGAAGGCGGCCCCCUGGACAAAGACUGACGCUCAGGUGCGAAAGCGUGGGGAGCAAACAGGAUUAGAUACCCCGGUAGUCCCUGUCUCUUAUAC